GCUCGAAUAGCUUAUAAUUGCAGAGCAUGGCACUGAAGAUGCCAAGGAGGCGAAUACUUACGCCUUUGAGCA
RNAcentral lists this transfer RNA (72 nucleotides) under Lambis lambis. Its description in RNAcentral is "tRNA-Phe". Lineage: Eukaryota; Metazoa; Mollusca; Gastropoda; Littorinimorpha; Strombidae. The record is from RNAcentral.